Molecule: ribosomal RNA, 424 nt
Filed under: Ochrobactrum sp. EK6
Lineage: Bacteria; Pseudomonadati; Pseudomonadota; Alphaproteobacteria; Hyphomicrobiales; Brucellaceae
Description: bacterial SSU rRNA
Rfam family: Bacterial small subunit ribosomal RNA
Source: RNAcentral
AACGAACGCUGGCGGCAGGCUUAACACAUGCAAGUCGAGCGCCCCGCAAGGGGAGCGGCAGACGGGUGAGUAACGCGUGGGAACGUACCUUUUGCUACGGAAUAACUCAGGGAAACUUGUGCUAAUACCGUAUGUGCCCGAAAGGGGAAAGAUUUAUCGGCAAAGGAUCGGCCCGCGUUGGAUUAGCUAGUUGGUGAGGUAAAGGCUCACCAAGGCGACGAUCCAUAGCUGGUCUGAGAGGAUGAUCAGCCACACUGGGACUGAGACACGGCCCAGACUCCUACGGGAGGCAGCAGUGGGGAAUAUUGGACAAUGGGCGCAAGCCUGAUCCAGCCAUGCCGCGUGAGUGAUGAAGGCCCUAGGGUUGUAAAGCUCUUUCACCGGUGAAGAUAAUGACGGUAACCGGAGAAGAAGCCCCGGCUAA